AUCAACAAACAUUUCCCAUAACCAUGCAAAUUUCCUACAAAAGAAGGAUGAUAAAAAAGAGCCCUAAAAAUAACAUAAAUGUAGGUAGUGUUGUUAAUUUAAUUUUAUGACAUGACAGCUACAACAACAGCAAAAACAACAAACUGGUCGAUAAGGCGGCACGGCCCUAACAAACAAACUAACAAAACACAACAACUAAAGAGACAUAAGAGGCCCCCAGAGGCCCCAGAGCCCCCAGAGGUGAGGCCCAGAGCCCGAGAGCCCGAGAGUCGUCAUCUGGCAGCAGCGUCAGACGCGAGAAACUUUAGCGGCUUCUAACGGUAAAUAUGAAUAUGGUGAGUGAGCGAGAGAGGGAAACAGAAAUGCAAACAUGCAUGAACGUGCACGUAAGAGCCACACACACACACACUAGCAUGAGUAUGUAUUGUGGCAAGUGCAGUCGCAAAGUAGGCGCGUCUCUCUCUUGUUUUUAGCCUUGUUCAACAGCAGCACCGGCAACGGCAACAGCAACAACACCAACAACAACCAGUUAACAACAAAAGCUUUAACAGCAACUUCAACAAAAAAUGCAACAAGAAAGGCAAAGAUUCGCAGCUUCUUUUUGGGGAAACGAAGGUUGGGAUACCCUUGAAGGUCUUGGAUUUCUAUGGUAGUCAAGCGAUUUGGAUUAUGUUUGGUUGAGGGAACCCAUAUGACAGCUGUAUCUUCAGAAACCAAUUGCUCCUAUGGCUGCUAUAAGAUAUAGGCAUUCAAACCGAUCAGCACCGACUUCUACCCUUUGUUGAGCAAUAAGCAAGAUCUGUGCAAACUUUCAGUCAGAAAAAUACAAUGGGUAUACACAAAGAAACAACAACAAACCGUUUGCAUUCCUGACCUACUCUGCAACUUUACAUUGACUUCAAACGGCCUGUAGUCCCGCGCCUCCACCUCCCUCUCUCUCUCUCUCUUGCUGCUGCAUGCUACUCCGACCAAAACGCGCAGACGAUAUUCAGCAUUCAGCAUAGAAAUGGGUGGAGACUCGAAACGAGUUGGGGGUUAAAGGAUAUGGCCAACAAGCAACAGCAACAACCUGGUUGGCCAUAAAAAAGUUGUAUUUUUUACCUCCAAAAGUAGUUAAACUUCAAAAGCCGACAAACGUGGAAGAAGAGAAGAAGCAGCAGGGGAAGAGGCAGAGGCAGAAGCAAAAGCAGACGAAGAAGAGGUGGAAAAAAUGCAUGGCAUGAAAACGAGUUUUCACUACUUUUGCCUAUUAUACAGCACCAACAAAAGCAACAACAAAGCCCCCCAAUUGAGAGAUGGAGACGACCGUAGACGUCGUAGAUGCCACAUCAAGGCAUGCAACGCCACCACCCAAUACCAAAGCAAUACAGAAACAAACGAAACAAAGCACAAGGCACAUUGCAAGCCGAUGACGUGCGCACAGUGGUUGACGGAGGAUUUGCAUGUGAAAUGUUCAGCGAGAAAUUACAUAACAGCCGAUGAGUGCGGGGCUGAUGCGAGUGAGGGAACAUGUUUGAUCACAGAUAAAUGGAAAUGGAAGAGAGUCUUUGAAAAUAUGAAUAGUAAAUGUAUUUUUUGGUGGGAGAAAAACCUCUUCAAAUCGUUAAAAAAUAAGGAAACUCAAGUCUUAACUGGGGAAUAUGGGAAAAUGUAUCUAUCUAUCCUCAAAGGAAUUAAAAUGAGCUGAAAUUCCUAUGAAAAGGUACUUCCUUCCUAAUUUAUGGCAAGGAAAUGAAAUGCAGACAAGAAAAGGAAGUUGCUUGAAAGAAAUCGAAUUUGAGAUUCCCUAACACGAGAUUUCUAGCUUUGGAAGCAAGGAAUGGAACAUGUGCAAGCUUGGAACGUGGGAAAAGAAUAGGGUUUAAGCUAAAAUUCAUUUAAAACUGUUAUUCCUCAAGAUACUGCCGAUUAGCCCACAUUUCGAGAAGAGAAGCAAAAGCAAAAGCGUGUUAGGAGUUCUCAGAGGAAGCUGUGGCAGCAGAAGAUGGUUGUUGCAGCAGGGCAGUAGCAGUGGCAAUGGCAAUUGCUACCUGGGUGGAGUUCCAUUGAAACCACUGGCGGUAAUGGUAACGGGAGGAAAAACCGCAGAAAAUUGCUAUACAUCUGCGAAGGAAAAGCCAGUGUUAAAGCAUAAGCCAUCGUGUAGAUGAAAACUGGCUUUUUCCACACAAUGAGAUUUAUUUAUCGUGAUUGUGCGCUUAAUUGAAAAUUGUUUGCGACUCAACAGAGAGAAAAAGCAAGAGAGAGGGAGAGCGCAACAGGAGGCAACGAGACGACUCCUGGCUUCCGUUCUGCGGGGCCAUAUAUCACCGUGAACCCAUCUUGGGUCU
Molecule: long non-coding RNA, 2330 nt
Organism: Drosophila miranda
Lineage: Eukaryota; Metazoa; Arthropoda; Insecta; Diptera; Drosophilidae
Exons: 4
Source: RefSeq, a predicted model, not a curated record